AGUGAACGCUGGCGGUAGGCCUAACACAUGCAAGUCGAACGGCAGCACAGUAAGAGCUUGCUCUUACGGGUGGCGAGUGGCGGACGGGUGAGGAAUACAUCGGAAUCUACUUUUUCGUGGGGGAUAACGUAGGGAAACUUACGCUAAUACCGCAUACGACCUACGGGAGAAAGCAGGGGAUCUUCGGACCUUUCGCGAUUGAAUGAGCCGAUGUCGGAUUAGCUAGUUGGCGGGGUAAAGGCCCACCAAGGCGACGAUCCGUAGCUGGUCUGAGAGGAUGAUCAGCCACACUGGAACUGAGACACGGUCCAGACUCCUACGGGAGGCAGCAGUGGGGAAUAUUGGACAAUGGGCGCAAGCCUGAUCCAGCCAUACCGCGUGGGUGAAGAAGGCCUUCGGGUUGUAAAGCCCUUUUGUUGGGAAAGAAAAGCAGCAGGUUAAUCCCCCGCUGUUCUGACGGUACCCAAAGAAUAAGCACCGGCUAACUUCGUG
RNAcentral lists this ribosomal RNA (492 nucleotides) under uncultured bacterium. RNAcentral's name for it is "partial 16S ribosomal RNA". It matches the Rfam family "Bacterial small subunit ribosomal RNA", at positions 29 to 507 of the family's 1533-position model. The record is from RNAcentral.